CUGUGAGCUCGAUGAGUAGGGCGGGACACGUGGUAUCCUGUCUGAAUAUGGGGGGACCAUCCUCCAAGGCUAAAUACUCCUGACUGACCGAUAGUGAACCAGUACCGUGAGGGAAAGGCGAAAAGAACCCCGGCGAGGGGAGUGAAAAAGAACCUGAAACCGUGUACGUACAAGCAGUGGGAGCACGCUUAGGCGUGUGACUGCGUACCUUUUGUAUAAUGGGUCAGCGACUUAUAUUCUGUAGCAAGGUUAACCGAAUAGGGGAGCCGAAGGGAAACCGAGUCUUAACUGGGCGUUAAGUUGCAGGGUAUAGACCCGAAACCCGGUGAUCUAGCCAUGGGCAGGUUGAAGGUUGGGUAACACUAACUGGAGGACCGAACCGACUAAUGUUGAAAAAUUAGCGGAUGACUUGUGGCUGGGGGUGAAAGGCCAAUCAAACCGGGAGAUAGCUGGUUCUCCCCGAAAGCUAUUUAGGUAGCGCCUCGUGAAUUCAUCUCCGGGGGUAGAGCACUGUUUCGGCAAGGGGGUCAUCCCGACUUACCAACCCGAUGCAAACUGCGAAUACCGGAGAAUGUUAUCACGGGAGACACACGGCGGGUGCUAACGUCCGUCGUGAAGAGGGAAACAACCCAGACCGCCAGCUAAGGUCCCAAAGUCAUGGUUAAGUGGGAAACGAUGUGGGAAGGCCCAGACAGCCAGGAUGUUGGCUUAGAAGCAGCCAUCAUUUAAAGAAAGCGUAAUAGCUCACUGGUCGAGUCGGCCUGCGCGGAAGAUGUAACGGGGCUAAACCAUGCAC
This 796-nucleotide ribosomal RNA is filed under the name Escherichia coli. RNAcentral's name for it is "partial 23S ribosomal RNA". It matches the Rfam family "Bacterial large subunit ribosomal RNA", at positions 397 to 1194 of the family's 2925-position model. Lineage: Bacteria; Pseudomonadati; Pseudomonadota; Gammaproteobacteria; Enterobacterales; Enterobacteriaceae. The record is from RNAcentral.